UUGAUCCUGCCGGACCCGACUGCUAUCAGAGUGGGACUAAGCCAUGCGAGUCAACGUAGCAAUGCGUGGCGAACGGCUCAGUAACACGUAGUCAACAUGCCCAGGGGACGUGGAUAACCUCGGGAAACUGAGAUUAAACCGCGAUAGGUCAAGAUUUCUGGAAUGGAUCGUGUCUUAAAUCUACAUGGCCCCUGGAUUGGACUGCGGCCGAUCAGGCUGUUGGUGAGGUAAUGGCCCACCAAACCUAUAACCGGUACGGGCUCUGAGAGGAGAAGCCCGGAGAUGGGCACUGAGACAAGGGCCCAGGCCCUAUGGGGCGCAGCAGGCGCGAAACCUCUGCAAUGGGCGAAAGCCUGACAGGGUUACUCUGAGUGAUUUCCGCUAAGGAGAUCUUUUGGCAGCUCUAAAAAUGGUGCAGAAUAAGGGGUGGGCAAGUCUGGUGUCAGCCGCCGCGGUAAUACCAGCACCCCGAGUGGUCGGGACGAUUAUUGGGCCUAAAGCAUCCGUAGCCGGUUGUGCAAGUCCUCCGUUAAAUCCAGCCGCUCAACGGAUGGGCUGCGGAGGAUACUACAGGACUAGGAGGCGGGAGAGGCAAGCGGUACUUAGUGGGUAGGGGUAAAAUCCUUUGAUCCAUUGAAGACCACCAGUGGCGAAGGCGGCUUGCCAGAACGCGCUCGACGGUGAGGGAUGAAAGCUGGGGGAGCAAACCGGAUUAGAUACCCGGGUAGUCCCAGCUGUAAACGAUGCAGACUCGGUGAUGGGCUAGCCUCGUGUCAGCCCAGUGCCGCAGGGAAGCCGUUAAGUCUGCCGCCUGGGGAGUACGGUCGCAAGACUGAAACUUAAAGGAAUUGGCGGGGGAGCACCACAAGGGGUGAAGCCUGCGGUUUCAUUGGACUNCACGCCGGGGACUCUAGAGGAUCCCC
This 923-nucleotide ribosomal RNA is filed under the name uncultured archaeon. RNAcentral describes it as "bacterial SSU rRNA". It matches the Rfam family "Archaeal small subunit ribosomal RNA", at positions 8 to 939 of the family's 1478-position model. The record is from RNAcentral.